Long non-coding RNA from Cynocephalus volans (Philippine flying lemur), 1535 nucleotides. RefSeq lists it as uncharacterized. The transcript is spliced from 3 exons. Lineage: Eukaryota; Metazoa; Chordata; Mammalia; Dermoptera; Cynocephalidae. The record is from RefSeq and is a predicted model, not a curated record.
UAUAUGGUUUUCUCUGCAUUAAUGUUGUUUGUAACACAGUAAGUCUUUUCAACCACCAUACUUAGUGCUAGGGUUUCUUCUUUCUGCUCAGAAAAGUGUUUUUUUAACAAUUUUUAUAUGUGAUUUUUGCUUGUGAUAUCUGCUCUGUUCCCUACCUCUGUUGGGAAAAUGGAACAAUUUGGUCGGAGUCCCCUCGCCUUGGAGCUGGUUUAGGGGCGGUUUGGGAAAUCAUUGUAUGUGUGUGGGUGGAGUAAGUGUGCCUGCAAGGCAGCACCACUUUGGCCAGUGUUUUACUGCCUCAGGUGCCCAUACUGUGUGGCCAUGUUUUUCCAGACCUGCAGUUUCCAAGGACCGUGUGGCCAGUUACCUAGCUAAUAGACCUGCAUGAAGGGGUCUGGUGACAUAGCCUGGCAUGUGAAGGGUUUGUGACCCAGUCUGUCAAUGGGCUUGAAGGGUCCAGGAGCUCCAGACCGAGCCCUAGCUCAACCAUGGGCCCAGUCAGUACAGGAUUACCAGCAGGUAAAAGAGCUGUGACAAUUAGCGUGGUCACCUAGCUUUACAAUUGGUGUCACAAACAGGACUAAGAGCUAGACAACUGGUGCCAUGAGCAGGAUAUGUGACAUCAGACUUAGCAUUAGCCUCAUAGUAGCCAGACAAAUUGGCGUAGUUGGCAGGAUUACACCAGACUAAUUGGCAUAGUCAGCAGGGUUACACCACAUUUGGCAUAGCCUGUGACAGGACUCUGAGCAGAUACAGGAGCCAACAGCCCUUGGAAGAAGGAGGAAAUGUGGCUAUUUGUGAAUAUGCUGUGCCCUCUGGCCACCUUUCCGUUGACCAGGACCUGGUUGCUGCACACUGCACUGCAAGGCAGCAUAGACCAGGUACUAUGGCAGAAAAUCCCUUAGGAGGGGGAAGAAAUGUGACUGUCUUUGAGCAUGUGGUGCCCAGUGGCCACUUUUCUGCUGACUGGAGCCUGGCUGCUGCUCACUCUGCUGCAAGUUGAUCAAGAUUUGAAGCGGAAAGCAGAGUUGUUCACGGAUGAUGUGAAGCUACUGGCAGAAUCGAGGCAGAAAGCAGAGUCGUUGGAAGCACAGAUAAAUGUCUUGGAGGACAACGUGUGGAGACUGGCCACUCCUGCUCCUCACACCAGGGAAGACAACCAACCCAAUGAUUUAACCCAGGCAGCUCCAAUGCUGCUAAGUCAUUUGGAACAACGUGGGUGAACACAGCCAAAGUGCAAGGACCUGGGCUGUCAGUCAAAUUCCUGGGAGUGGUCUGAUCGGAACAGAAUUGGAAACAACAGCACAAGUUAUAAAGAAACAGAUUUGGUCUCAAUAGGAAAAGAAUCUUUCACAGUAACCUCCUCAAUAAUGGAAAAGAUCAAUUUAUGACAUGGUGAACUCUUAAGUCAGUCACUGGAAUUAUUCACUGGCCCUGGGAUACUGUACAAGGAACUCCUGCUUUGGGUAUGAAGUUGAGUUUCAAGGUCUUUAAAUUUCCUUCUACCUCUAUUAAAGUUUCUAUAAUUCAAAAAA